RNAcentral lists this ribosomal RNA (326 nucleotides) under uncultured eukaryote. Its description in RNAcentral is "partial 18S ribosomal RNA". It matches the Rfam family "Eukaryotic small subunit ribosomal RNA", at positions 1470 to 1796 of the family's 1831-position model. The record is from RNAcentral.
CCCUUAGAUGUCCUGGGCCGCACGCGCGCUACACUGAACGGAUCAGCGCGUUUUCCCUUCCCGAGAGGGACGGGUAACCUGCUGAACCCCGUUCGUGGUAGGGAUCGGGGCUUGCAAUUAUUCCCCGUGAACCAGGAAUGCCCAGUAAGUGCAAGUCAUAAGCUUGCGUUGAUUACGUCCCUGCCCUUUGUACACACCGCCCGCCGCUACUACCGAUUGAACGUUUUAGUGAGGUACUCGGACUGAGCCUCAGAAGAUUCACGUCUUUUGUGCUGCUCGGGAAGAUUCCCAAACUUGAGCGUUUAGAGGAAGUAAAAGUCGUAACA